UUUUCUUUUCAUCUCUGUUCUGUUUCGGCUGGAGAAGAAUAGAGGAAACAAAACACAUGAGAGAGAGAGAGAGCUAGAGGAAGUGAACACGACAGAGCUUGGGGAAGCUAACGGUAGAGGAAGAAGAUGGAGUCGAACAGAGGAAGGACAUGAGCUCGAUUGAGAGCUCGGGUUGGGUAUAUGGAAGAGAAGGAAGGUUCGGUUCCGAGCAAAGAAAACAGAGAGGAGAAGAAUGAGAGCGAGGGAGUAACAGAGAAGGCUCGGUGAAGCCCACAGAGGAGAAAGAGAACCAAGCUGAGCAAACUCGGUGGAGAAGAAGAAGAGGAAUGAUAGGUUGAAGGGAAGAUUGAUUUCAGUCAAAUAGGCUGCAUGCGUCGGGGAUCGAGGAGACAGAAAUCUAGCACUCUGGAGGUUUGACUCAAAAGGCUAUCUUUGUUGGAGUUGUCUGUGAGUACUAUAUUCCUUUAUGAAAUGAUGUAUUAUAAUUAUAUAAAUUAUUUAAGAAUAAUAUUGUGAUAGUUAGAUUAAGGAAUCGGUCUUACUAUACUGUGUGAAAGGAUUUGAGAGAUAUUGCCUAUUAUGUUCCAUUUUGACUUGAGGUAAUGUUGUCAGCACUUAAUUUCGGUC
Molecule: non-coding RNA, 627 nt
Organism: Punica granatum (pomegranate)
Lineage: Eukaryota; Viridiplantae; Streptophyta; Magnoliopsida; Myrtales; Lythraceae
Source: RefSeq, a predicted model, not a curated record